GGGUUGUGAGGUUAAGCGACUAAGCGUACACGGUGGAUGCCCUGGCAGUCAGAGGCGAUGAAGGACGUGCUAAUCUGCGAUAAGCGUCGGUAAGGUGAUAUGAACCGUUAUAACCGGCGAUUUCCGAAUGGGGAAACCCAGUGUGUUUCGACACACUAUCAUUAACUGAAUCCAUAGGUUAAUGAGGCGAACCGGGGGAACUGAAACAUCUAAGUACCCCGAGGAAAAGAAAUCAACCGAGAUUCCCCCAGUAGCGGCGAGCGAACGGGGAGCAGCCCAGAGCCUGAAUCAGUGUGUGUGUUAGUGGAAGCGUCUGGAAAGGCGCGCGAUACAGGGUGACAGCCCCGUACACAAAAAUGCACAUGCUGUGAGCUCGAUGAGUAGGGCGGGACACGUGGUAUCCUGUCUGAAUAUGGGGGGACCAUCCUCCAAGGCUAAAUACUCCUGACUGACCGAUAGUGAACCAGUACCGUGAGGGAAAGGCGAAAAGAACCCCGGCGAGGGGAGUGAAAAAGAACCUGAAACCGUGUACGUACAAGCAGUGGGAGCACGCUUAGGCGUGUGACUGCGUACCUUUUGUAUAAUGGGUCAGCGACUUAUAUUCUGUAGCAAGGUUAACCGAAUAGGGGAGCCGAAGGGAAACCGAGUCUUAACUGGGCGUUAAGUUGCAGGGUAUAGACCCGAAACCCGGUGAUCUAGCCAUGGGCAGGUUGAAGGUUGGGUAACACUAACUGGAGGACCGAACCGACUAAUGUUGAAAAAUUAGCGGAUGACUUGUGGCUGGGGGUGAAAGGCCAAUCAAACCGGGAGAUAGCUGGUUCUCCCCGAAAGCUAUUUAGGUAGCGCCUCGUGAAUUCAUCUCCGGGGGUAGAGCACUGUUUCGGCAAGGGGGUCAUCCCGACUUACCAACCCGAUGCAAACUGCGAAUACCGGAGAAUGUUAUCACGGGAGACACACGGCGGGUGCUAACGUCCGUCGUGAAGAGGGAAACAACCCAGACCGCCAGCUAAGGUCCCAAAGUCAUGGUUAAGUGGGAAACGAUGUGGGAAGGCCCAGACAGCCAGGAUGUUGGCUUAGAAGCAGCCAUCAUUUAAAGAAAGCGUAAUAGCUCACUGGUCGAGUCGGCCUGCGCGGAAGAUGUAACGGGGCUAAACCAUGCACCGAAGCUGCGGCAGCGACGCUGAUGCGUUGUUGGGUAGGGGAGCGUUCUGUAAGCCUGCGAAGGUGUGCUGUGAGGCAUGCUGGAGGUAUCAGAAGUGCGAAUGCUGACAUAAGUAACGAUAAAGCGGGUGAAAAGCCCGCUCGCCGGAAGACCAAGGGUUCCUGUCCAACGUUAAUCGGGGCAGGGUGAGUCGACCCCUAAGGCGAGGCCGAAAGGCGUAGUCGAUGGGAAACAGGUUAAUAUUCCUGUACUUGGUGUUACUGCGAAGGGGGGACGGAGAAGGCUAUGUUGGCCGGGCGACGGUUGUCCCGGUUUAAGCGUGUAGGCUGGUUUUCCAGGCAAAUCCGGAAAAUCAAGGCUGAGGCGUGAUGACGAGGCACUACGGUGCUGAAGCAACAAAUGCCCUGCUUCCAGGAAAAGCCUCUAAGCAUCAGGUAACAUCAAAUCGUACCCCAAACCGACACAGGUGGUCAGGUAGAGAAUACCAAGGCGCUUGAGAGAACUCGGGUGAAGGAACUAGGCAAAAUGGUGCCGUAACUUCGGGAGAAGGCACGCUGAUAUGUAGGUGAGGUCCCUCGCGGAUGGAGCUGAAAUCAGUCGAAGAUACCAGCUGGCUGCAACUGUUUAUUAAAAACACAGCACUGUGCAAACACGAAAGUGGACGUAUACGGUGUGACGCCUGCCCGGUGCCGGAAGGUUAAUUGAUGGGGUUAGCGCAAGCGAAGCUCUUGAUCGAAGCCCCGGUAAACGGCGGCCGUAACUAUAACGGUCCUAAGGUAGCGAAAUUCCUUGUCGGGUAAGUUCCGACCUGCACGAAUGGCGUAAUGAUGGCCAGGCUGUCUCCACCCGAGACUCAGUGAAAUUGAACUCGCUGUGAAGAUGCAGUGUACCCGCGGCAAGACGGAAAGACCCCGUGAACCUUUACUAUAGCUUGACACUGAACAUUGAGCCUUGAUGUGUAGGAUAGGUGGGAGGCUUAGAAGUGUGGACGCCAGUCUGCAUGGAGCCGACCUUGAAAUACCACCCUUUAAUGUUUGAUGUUCUAACGUUGACCCGUAAUCCGGGUUGCGGACAGUGUCUGGUGGGUAGUUUGACUGGGGCGGUCUCCUCCUAAAGAGUAACGGAGGAGCACGAAGGUUGGCUAAUCCUGGUCGGACAUCAGGAGGUUAGUGCAAUGGCAUAAGCCAGCUUGACUGCGAGCGUGACGGCGCGAGCAGGUGCGAAAGCAGGUCAUAGUGAUCCGGUGGUUCUGAAUGGAAGGGCCAUCGCUCAACGGAUAAAAGGUACUCCGGGGAUAACAGGCUGAUACCGCCCAAGAGUUCAUAUCGACGGCGGUGUUUGGCACCUCGAUGUCGGCUCAUCACAUCCUGGGGCUGAAGUAGGUCCCAAGGGUAUGGCUGUUCGCCAUUUAAAGUGGUACGCGAGCUGGGUUUAGAACGUCGUGAGACAGUUCGGUCCCUAUCUGCCGUGGGCGCUGGAGAACUGAGGGGGGCUGCUCCUAGUACGAGAGGACCGGAGUGGACGCAUCACUGGUGUUCGGGUUGUCAUGCCAAUGGCACUGCCCGGUAGCUAAAUGCGGAAGAGAUAAGUGCUGAAAGCAUCUAAGCACGAAACUUGCCCCGAGAUGAGUUCUCCCUGACCCUUUAAGGGUCCUGAAGGAACGUUGAAGACGACGACGUUGAUAGGCCGGGUGUGUAAGCGCAGCGAUGCGUUGAGCUAACCGGUACUAAUGAACCGUGAGGCUUAACCUUACAACGCCGAAGCUGUU
This 2930-nucleotide ribosomal RNA is filed under the name Escherichia coli. RNAcentral describes it as "bacterial LSU rRNA". It matches the Rfam family "Bacterial large subunit ribosomal RNA". RNAcentral also lists the same sequence under 1 other name. Lineage: Bacteria; Pseudomonadati; Pseudomonadota; Gammaproteobacteria; Enterobacterales; Enterobacteriaceae. The record is from RNAcentral.